CCAGAUCAAACAUAUGGUUAAUCAGUUUUGGGAAGAGGCUAAUGGUUGGUUUGUUAUUGGUGCACAGAAGAUUGCUUACUGCUUCGGUGCUUGCUGAUUGACAUAAUUUAUAAUUUAUUUAUACAGGUGAUUGUUAAGUGCUUUGACAUGUCAUGACACUAAUUUCCUAUUGCAAGUACAAAGUAUGCAUAUCGUCAAAACAUUGAUCAUGAAUAAAUGCAAAACAUUUUGCUUAGGUUUUGAUUUAAUACUGGUUCAUGUCAAAGUGUGGUGAAACUUAUCUCGUGUUAGUAUACUAUAGUGGCGUUGUUCAAUUUUUUAAUUUCAAAUCGGGUAAACCAUACAUGUACUGUUGACAUGCUAAAUUGCUAAUGUUCAUAUAUAAGGAGUUCAGGUGGCAUUUCUUUUUUGAUCUCAUAACUCAGUGGAAAGUUGCAUGCCAGUAUCACAUUUCAGAACUUCACUGAUCAUCAGUGUUUGACCAUAUAAAGUUGUCACUUUAUUCUCUUUCCUUAUGUUAUCAAUAAAUUAUAUAAAUGAUUGAUCAGAUUAUGUUCAGUUUUUGAACCACAAUGAUGUUGAGUUUUUUUAGUACUCCCUCCGUCCCAAAAUAGUAGGGGGCAAUUCCUUGUGUGCCAUAGGAAAUUAUACUCGUUCCUUGUGUGCCACUGGCCCCAUAUAUCAUACACACACAAAAAAUUCCAUAUAUGUCACUCAAUAGCACACAAGGAAUGAGUAUAAAAUUCAAUGGUACAUAGGGAAACUUUCCAAAUAGUAGUUGUUUUAGCUCUUAAUUUUUAUGUCUAUAUUCAAAUGGAAUCUAGACAUAUACCAAACAUAUACAUUAAGUGUUGCAUGAACCCACUAAUUUGCUAAAACGAAUUUUAUUUUGAGACAGAGGGAGUAUUACUAAAUGUACAUAUAGUUCCAUGUUUGCAUUUGGUUUAGUGGCAUCUUUUUUUCUGCCAGGUUAUUUGACAUAAUAAUCUUUUUAUAUGCUGGGUUCGAUGUGUACAUGAACCACAAAUUAGUAGUUUAGUACAGUGAACCCCCUCUUAUCAUUCCAUUGCAUAUAUAACAUGUGUAUGUAUCGGUGAAUGGUAGUCACCCUUUGUCUGUGCUUGAGUACAGGUGCAGAAACUGGAUGAGAUGGGCUAAACCUUUCCCUGAAUCUAGCUAACCUGCUGCGGUUGCCUUGUAACCUUGCUUUGCUGAUUUUUAUUUUUACUUUGACAUUUCUUUUGCAAUUUCUGCUCAUUCAAGGAUGUUGUGUCUCUUUUGCAGGUUGUCAAGUAUUCUUGGUGGCUAUGUAUUGCAACAAUAAUUUAAAUUGAUCAUUCUGGUGAGUUUUGGUGUGCUCUUGGCCUUUUGUCAGGGUGGUACUGUGUGUCUGUGCAUUUAGGUGAGAUUUGCUAAGUUGCAAGUAUGUCAACUUGAGUAGGAAAAUUUCAAUUAAAAGUAUCUGAGAACUGGUAGGAAAUUCGUGGCUGAAAGACAUGUACGACUACCUAGCCUCUUCAACAUAAUCUUAGUUACAGUUCGGUAACCUGUGAACCUACUGGUAAAGAUAAACAUGUGCUUGUUUAAGAACCAUUGUAUUUUCUUCUAUUGAUUUUCAUGAUCAAUUGCUGGGUUAUAGAUUAAAUUCCAUGAUCAAUUCCAUGCUAAGUUGCAAUUUCUAUUGAUUUUCAUGAUCAAUUGUCUUCUAUUGAUCAGCAGUGCUGGGCGGGGUUGACAGAGAGUUAGAUGACGCUGACGUUGUCGUGGUAGACAAGUGUGCUACUGGUGAGGGGACUGUGAAGCUCCUGGAGGAGCUGAGUUGGUGCAUCCAGCUUGCCUUAGCCACCCCAUUGUCGACAACUAGGUACUCACCCUCAGCACACUGGAGCGUGAGACCACAUGCUGACACUCACUUGGAGGACUAAGAGAUGAGGUUGGCCACAAGAAACACUGCAUAGCCAGAGGUAGACCGAUGGGUGUCCGAGUGCUCAUGUCUAGAGGAGUGCUCGCAUACGGUCGUUUUGGUAGAGCGGGAGUAUUUCAACUAUGGUAAAUUUUAAUAUUUCAAUAUGGAGACUCCAAGAGCCGUUCCGUUCCUCUUUUGUUUGAAGCCAAACAUCCAAAAAAUAAGAAUGAAAUAGUUACAUUCUCUUCCAUUCAACCAAACACACCCUUAAUCUGACUUACCACUCGAAUGAGGUAGCAAUUCAUUAUUACCAUCUAAGCCAAUGGCUAUGGUAACAUGCGAACAAAUAGUGACGAGUACCAACAAUAAUAAGCAACUUCAUAUUUGG
This 2294-nucleotide long non-coding RNA is filed under the name Zea mays. Its description in RNAcentral is "long non-coding RNA (ZMAY_LNC000795)". The record is from RNAcentral. Lineage: Eukaryota; Viridiplantae; Streptophyta; Magnoliopsida; Poales; Poaceae.